Molecule: non-coding RNA, 1200 nt
Organism: Odocoileus virginianus texanus
Lineage: Eukaryota; Metazoa; Chordata; Mammalia; Artiodactyla; Cervidae
Source: RefSeq, a predicted model, not a curated record
GAGUGCCCUGGGUCCUCAUCCUGGCCAUGCCACCGAAGAACCACGUGGCCUGGGUCUGUCAGCUGACAUCAGGGCCCUGGAUACACAGAGCCCCAAUCUCACAGAGGCUACAAAGACAUUCUGUCACACUGGCAGUCACAUGAUGUAACCUUUGACAUCCCGUCAUCUGAGACCAGAACCUAAAGUCUAAGUAUACUCCAAAUCUGUACAUGAGAGACUCAGAGCAAGCAAGGAAUGGUCUGCGGAGAGACUUGGAACUCCUGAUUCAUUCAUUCAGAAAUAUUUACCAAAUGCUCCAUAUGGAACAGCCAUCGAUCUAUAAAUGGAGAUAAUCUCUGCUCUCACGGGGUUUACAUUCUAUUAAGGAGAUAAGCAGGUGGGAAGAGAUGGAAGUUAAAACCAUCCCAGUAUAUCACCACGCAGCCUGUCUGAUCUAUGCUACAGCCCACAUUUUAGGUCUUCUAUGGAAAAGCUUAUCUUAAAAAGAUAACUGACAACAGAACUCAAAAAGAAGAAAACCAACCAGUAAAAAUGGGCAAAAGAGUUAACAGGCCUGGAAAUAAGGUACACGAAUGGCAAGUAAGCACAUGAAAAGAUGUUCAGAAUCAUGUAGAUGUUAGAGAAAUGCCAAUUCAAACCACAGUGAGUUAUGGGUACUAUAAUAACGUCUAAAACGAAAAAGACCGACUCUCCCAAGUGUUGGCAAGGAUGUAAUGUAACCAGAACUCACCUGCAGCUGGUGGGAAUGUGAAAUGGUGCAACCAUUUUGGUGAGAAACAGUUUAAUAUAUUCUUAAAAAUUAAAACUCCAUGUACUACAUGACCUAGGUAUUUUUACUUAUAGGUAUUUACUGAAGAAAAAAAAUGAAGCAAACGUCCCUUCAGAGAUUUGUAUGCAACUAUGUAUAGCAGCUUUAUUUUUAGCAGUCCAAACUAGAAUCAACCUACAUAUCUAUCAACAGGUGAAUGGAUGAGAAAAAGAACUGUGUGGCCAUAGAUGGACUAUCACUCAGCACUGAACAGAGGCUAACCACCGGUGCCAGCAACUCCACCAAUGACUUCUAAAUGCACUAUGCUAAAUGAAAGGACCAAGAGAUUUCAUUUCUUUUUUUCCAACAAGAUUUACUAUACAAUAAAUACAUAUGCAUACAUAUUAAAAUACUUGUUGAAAAAUUAAGUAAGCAACAUGAUAUAUUGUACA